GAGGAGCCGCUGAGUGGGGAGGAGAGAGGGACAGAGAGCCUGCUUGCUUUAAAGGAGCAAAGCAAGCAGGCUCUCUGUCCCUCUCUCCUCCUCACUCAGCUCGCUAAAU
Podarcis lilfordi (Lilford's wall lizard) is the source of this 109-nucleotide non-coding RNA. Lineage: Eukaryota; Metazoa; Chordata; Lepidosauria; Squamata; Lacertidae. The record is from the annotation of a GenBank genome assembly.